AGUGUGUUGCAAGACUAUAAAAUUACUCAUACAGUUGCAGCAAAGACAAGGCAUGUUUGAAUGAGAAGAAAACAUGAAUUAUACUUUUUAAUAAUAGAAGAGAUUUCUUACAACUUUCAUUCCCACACACAUCUAAGCUUGAUGGAGAGUUGUACAAAUUCAAUUUCAUAAAAGUAGUUUCAACUUCACACACUUUUUUACUUCUUUCAACACAUAACAUUUUUCUGUAUAUCACCCCUAACAUAAAUCAGUUUUCAUAGAUCAGUUUUUGUUUUUUAUUUCCUAUUUCAUAGAUAACUAAAAACUCUUAUUUGGGUUAUGGUGCUGGUUGUAGAUCUCUGAUUUUUUUUUAAUGUCAGGUUGUGCCUUGGUAAGCCAGAAGAAUUCAUACACAUGUAUGUGCGCACACACACAUGCACUCACACUUGCUUUUUGGCUCUUCCUCCAACUAUUUGGCUGACAAGGCAAGAAAAAGGAAGGUUCUGGCUUCCAUGUUGCCCCACAGUCAAUCAACAGGGUUGGUGCAUACUAACAGAAAUGAUGUGCCUCCCACUGCGUCAGCUGUUGAGUUGGAGACCACUCAGUGAUCCAGCUGUGACAUAAAAUGUCAUUGCGAAUCAUCCCUGGACUGAGACAUUUUCUCCCUUGAGACUCCACUGAUUGAAGCUGGGUUACAUAUAAGUAUGAAUGUCCACCCAGUUUUCUUAUUGGUAUAGAUUCCGGAUCUCUCAGGCACGAGACCAGAGUGGAAGAGGAAUCAAAUGUCUUUCCAUCUUCAGUCUAGGUUGCUCUGUCUAAUGAACCAAAGCAUGGGUGUGUUGAGUGUCUUCAUAUGAAAGUCUUACAACUGUACAGCAAGAAAUGUAUGGGCCAUUUUGUGCUUCACCAUCAUCAUUGCCUAAGUGUAGAACAUUGUGUGUAAGUCAUUUAUGGAAGUGCUUAGCCUACCCUUCCAUAAG
Long non-coding RNA from Lutra lutra (Eurasian river otter), 959 nucleotides. RefSeq lists it as uncharacterized. NCBI's taxonomy places the organism in Eukaryota, Metazoa, Chordata, Mammalia, Carnivora, Mustelidae. The transcript has 4 exons. The record is from RefSeq and is a predicted model, not a curated record.